Molecule: ribosomal RNA, 384 nt
Filed under: uncultured Lactobacillus sp.
Lineage: Bacteria; Bacillati; Bacillota; Bacilli; Lactobacillales; Lactobacillaceae
Description: bacterial SSU rRNA
Rfam family: Bacterial small subunit ribosomal RNA
Source: RNAcentral
GAUGCUAAUACCGGAUAAAAAGCUACUUUCGCAUGAAAGAAGUUUAAAAAGGACGGCGUAAAGCUGUCGCUAAAGGAUGGACCUGCGAUGCAUUAGCUAGUUGGUAAGGUAACGGCUUACCAAGGCGAUGAUGCAUAGCCGAGUUGAGAGACUGAUCGGCCACAUUGGGACUGAGACACGGCCCAAACUCCUACGGGAGGCAGCAGUAGGGAAUCUUCCACAAUGGACGCAAGUCUGAUGGAGCAACGCCGCGUGAGUGAAGAAGGUUUUCGGAUCGUAAAGCUCUGUUGUUGGUGAAGAAGGAUAGAGGUAGUAACUGGCCUUUAUUUGACGGUAAUCAACCAGAAAGUCACGGCUAACUACGUGCCAGCAGCCGCGGUAAAU